This 5868-nucleotide long non-coding RNA is filed under the name Coffea arabica (coffee). RNAcentral's name for it is "long non-coding RNA (CARA_LNC001879)". The record is from RNAcentral. Lineage: Eukaryota; Viridiplantae; Streptophyta; Magnoliopsida; Gentianales; Rubiaceae.
UUUCUCCUUUAAGUUUUAACGGUUGCAGGUUGCUCCUAUUCUUAGCCUCGGUUCCUCAACUCUUGCACCAGCUAUCUCUCCCUUCCUUGCGUUUGUUGGUUUGUUCGUUUAUGUUUAGCAGCUGAUGGAGUUAAUCAGCUUCCUCUCCUCACCUCCAGUUCCACUCCCUCGGUUGGUUUUAGAAAGAAAGAAAGAAAGAAAGAAAGGAAGGAAGAAAGCUGCCUUGUUUUUUCUUCCUCUCGGUCACCGCCCAAGCUAGCAGAUUAGUUUCUAUUUGUUUCCUCUCAGUCACCGUCUGGACUUAGCAGAUGAUUUCUCUUUGUUUUCUCUCUUUCGGUCACUGCCUACUCAGCAAAUUGGUAGUAUAUUCCUUCCUGGCAGCUGUCUUAAUAGGAGUUACUCACCGCCCAAACUAUCAGCCAAUUUCUACUCAUUUUCCCUUCCACCGCUUAAACUUAGCAGAUGGUUAUCUAGCUUCCGUUCGGUUCCUGUUUUGUCAAAAUUCUAGUAGUUUGUUCCUUAGUUGCAUCGUAGUUUAACCGAAUCUCCAAGAUUGGUCCGGUCCUUUAGUUUUGGUUCAUUUGUUUGCUACGAGUCCAUAAUUUUAUUGUCUCAUACAUUGAUUCCAAAUUUCGUUUAUUCUAAUUUGUAUGUACCUUGGAAAAUUUUCCUACAUUGGUCUAGUAGAAUUUCACACAUUUGGCUUUAAGGAAAAUUAAUUAGUCAUGUAACUUAUUCAACUAUAUAAUAAAUUCUAAUGACACAAAUUGGCAAUAAGUCUAUCAUAUAUUUGUUUGGUUCCUAAAAUUUUUCUACACCAUUCUAUUAUUUGUUUAUUAUGAUAUAUAUAUAUUUUAUCCUUACCAUUAUUAUUAUUAUUAUUAUUUUCUAAAUUUCAAUUUAAUAGGAAUUCAAUUAUGCAUUUAAUUUAACCAUUUAUUUGUUUUAUAUAAUAUUUCUAAUGAUAAGUUAAAUAUAAUGAAAUAAAUUCGAAGUAUGCACAUAAAUUUCCGAGUUCUCACAUCCUUCUCCCCUUAAGAAAAUUUCUUCCUCGAAAUUUCGUACCUUUAAUCGUAAAAAGUUCCAGGUAUUCUUUCCACAUUUUGUUCUCCAGUUCUCAUGUCAUUUCUUCCAUUCCAUGAUGCUCCCAUAGGACUUUGAUUAAAGGAAUUUAUUUAUUCUUCAAUCCCUGUUUUUGAAAUAACAUGCCCCAGAAACAAUAUUUUCUCCAUUCGAAAUUCACACUUACAAUUGACGCUUCCUUAAAGUCGAUAACACUAUCUUUAGAUUCUAUUCAUGAUCUUCCUUCUUAAUUCUCCAUUGAUAGUAUCGUUGUCAAAAAUCUAUCUUAGAAAACACCAUUGGCCCUUGCAACAAUUAUAACAUCGUUAUAAGCUCAACUUUCAAUCUCUCCUCUUUUUUUUUUUUCUCCAAUCUUAAUCUCAUAGUUUCUAUACACCACUUUGGUUACCAAAUUUCACUCAGGUUAGUAAUUAUUUAAUCCCAAGGACUAAUAAAUAUUACAGCAUUAUAACAAAAUAAACAUAUGAUCAUCAAAUUACAUACACACAAUCUAAGUUACAUUACACACCAACUUCAUACAACUUUAAAAGCCAAACAAUUCACGGAUACAUUCAACAUUUUCAUACAUAACUCAAACUUCAAUCCUUAUAAACAUGAAAGAAAACAAUUCAAUAAUACAUAAAUUAUUAUAACCACACAGCUAAUAGCUCAACCCUUAGUUUAGACUCAACUUAAACUUCAUUAAUCUAAUUUUGGACAGUCCCACUAGACCCAAUUUCUUCUUCUGGUUCUACUUCCAUAGGUUCCUCUUCCUCGGGAUCUUUCUCUGCCGGUUCGGCUUCACCUUCGACUCUAGGAGCCUCUACACCCUAACUUUCCCUAUUUAGAUUCUCCCCCCACAAGCUCUUCCAUCAACACUUCACAUUCAGCUAGAAUCCCUUUAGUUCGGUCUCUUACCUAUCUUAGUACCCUAGUGAGACGGUCUUUAGUCUCCUGCAACUGAUCAUACAAGACAUUAGUUCACUCUUGCUCCUCUAUCAUAUCAGUUUCCUACUUUAGGAUCCUAUCACGUCACAUCCUUAUGAAUUUCCUCAUUUCUUACAUUCUAAUAUGAGCUCUCUCAUUUGCUAUUACUAAUCUCUGUCUUUUACCCAUUUGAACUAGUAUCACUCGAUCCAGAUAGAAGUAAGUUCUUGAACAGUCACAGUGACUAGUCAUUCAAUGCCCUAGAACACACUGCCGAAAGGAUACACCUGGUCCUUACUUAAAAACUAUUUCACUCAAAUUUCAGGUCAGAAAACCAUAUUUUUAGGCAAGAGUUGGCAUAUGAUCUAUUUACUAUCGCAGGCUAAUAAAAUUAUUCACCUUAAGAUGGAGGAUUUGCACUAAUAUUCAAGAUCUCACCACAACCUCUUCACCCUUAGCUCUCAAAAGCUAGCCUUGGUCUCGUUAAUUCUAUUUCUUCAAUUUAAAUCGUGAUUUCUGAUCACGUCAUAAUGCAAUAUACUAAAUUCUUCCUAAUUUGUAAAUACACCAUUGAAUGAAAUAUCUGGUACUUGGGUACAAGAAUCUGAAAAUAGGAUAAUUCAUAGCCUAGGUUGGCCAGUCCCAAGAGUAAAUUACCCAUAUUUGAGAUUCCUACCUGAUGUACUUAUCUAAUCCCCUUAGCAAUAGUAAUUAAUUCAACACUUAAAAGGUCAAUCCCCACAGUUCGAGAACCCUCUCCCGGCUUGACCUCAUUAAGAGCUUUGAUACCACCUGUGACGACCCGCCCUCCUCCUAGGACGUACCCUAGAAGUUAGCGGACCGCCUGCCUGGCUCUCGUCAGGACUCAUUUAUUUACAUUAACUUCAAAGAUAACAUUUCUCAUUAAUCAUCCAAACAUCCAUUCUUAAUACUUCUUAGUAAGACAAAAGCUUUGUCCACUACAAAUUACAAAAGUAAAUCAUCCAAACGUUCAUUCUUAAGUAUAUCACCCAAGUACAUCACCAACUAGUGUAAAAUAUAAAUCUACCCAUUAAGAGAUGCAAAAUGCAGGUCUUAUCAUCAAUAUAACACUCUAACUCUAUUUGAUCGUCCUUCAAACUUCAACUCCUGUAAGGAAAACAAAGCUAAAAGGUUGAACUAAUGCUCAGUGAGGUUUCCAUGCAAGCAACAAUCAAUAAACAUUUAAACCAGAUAAGCCAGUAACAAAAUUAAGCAAUUAAAGAACACUUCACUGAAUCAAGUAGAGAACACUUCACUGAACAUUCACUUUUAAAAAGGAUACAGUGCUCGCAUUAGAACCACUUCAAUGCACUACACACUCCACCGAACUCCUCCUUAUAACCUCCAAAACAAUAAACACUUCCCUCACUUAGAUGGCCAUAUCAACAUCAGUAAUCUGCUACUCCUUGGUAAUACUCGAGCAUACCAAUACACUUACCCAAAGCUACCGUCCUAUCCGACAAGCCCUUUUGCUGGCUCGAGUAGUCCGUUGAACAAAGGGUUUUGGGGCUCAGUUCAGCCGGUGUGGUAAAGUACACACAUGGCUUACAGUCAUGCACAUUUACAAUAACACUUGAUCAAUUAUCAACCUUCAAGUUCAAACUAAGUCGAGUGCGAUAAUGUACACUCCCGACUUAGAAGGCAAGGGACAAUUGAGAUAUACUUUACAAUGAAUCACUAGCAAUAUUCCAUAAUAAGCACAUUUAUCACAUAAUUUCACUUAAGUAAACAUAAACAGUUAAACACACAAAUCCGGAAACACUCACCAAGUUUCCAAAUAAAUUACUCUUGAGCCUCGAGUUUGUUUCCUGAGUCACAGCUAUUCCCUGAGAUAAGUGUAUAAGUCCAAAGUAAAUAUACAAUUUGUAGAUAUUCAUUUAUUAUUUAUUACCCUAUUAUCGGAACUAUUAAAAUCAAGUUUGACUUUAAAAUACAAAAUAUAAUAUAUUCAAUAUUUAUUCUACAUUUUAUUUCGAACUUUAUUGACUUUAUCAUUUUAACAAAGAAAUAUACACAUUUUCUAAGGUUAUGAUUUAUAAAUAUUUAAAUUAGGAUUAAAUCAUUUCUCACUCUAUAUCUUAAAGUUAAAAUAAAUAAACUUUUCAUCCUUCUCUUCUUCUUUUUUUCCAAAUCAAAUUCUAAGUUGUCUAUGAUUUAAGUUUUGUAUAAACUUAUUAGUUUUCUUGUUUAAGUUUCUUAAAUGUUCAUAAGCGGAGUUUCACAACGAAUUAGCUUAAAAUUUCAAGAUUCCAUAAAAGUUUCAUUUCUCCCUUCAUCCGGUCAGCAUAAACAAUAUUUUAGCUCAAAUGUUCCUUAACCUACAACAACUCCACUUUUUAAUUGCUUAAACUUUAGUCACCUAGUAUACAUUUCAUUCAAGGUGAAUAACUCAUAAUUUCAGCAUGUCGGUCGCCCACAUCAUAUACAAAAUUUGUCAUCUUCAAUCGCAACCAUUAACUAGGCUUUCUAGCAAUGUAUCGGUCCAAUAUUCGGUACAUUUCCCUCAAAUCUUUCCUUUCACUCUCAUGUCCCAACUAGACAAGUUAAUUACAUUUAUUAAGCUACAAAGUAGCAUUGUACAGAACGUGGAAAGUUUUGCAGCUUACUUAGAGGAAAAAACUGAUCAACUCUUCCUUCUUUCUCUCGGCCAUAAGGUAAUUCAGCAGCACAUUUCAUAGUUUUCCUCUCAUUUGCCUUAGUUUAACUCUACUCACGAAACUAGUCAUAGUCACUAAAUCACAGAGCAACCUUAGUUCUACCUGUGGAAGUUCACAGAGCCAGAAAUUAAAAGAAUGGCUGCUCUACAAGCUGAUUUCCUUCCCUUUUUUUUCUAUCCUAACAGAUUGUACCAACUUCCUUUUGUCAAAUUUUAGUUAAGCUUCCUGAAGUUUUCUGAUUUCCAAGGCACCUAUCUGUUAAGGUAAAGAAUUAACAUAUCUCAUGCGGUUGUUAGUAAGUGUUUCCAAUAUAUUAACAACAAGUUGCAUAUUCUGUUUCAUUUCCUCGGCCAACCUAUCUGUAGUAAAUUGAACUCAUUCUUCCUUCAAUGUUCACUUCAGUUUAUACUUGUUUCUGUCAUGCUCGAAGAAGUCAAGAUGCUUUACAAUACAUUACAGCUUAAUACGAAAUUUAAAACCAAACUUUGCAGAAGACCGCUAGAGUUUCUUCACUUCUUUUCUCUCGGAUGAGGCUAUAAGGAUUUCAGCAGGUUUCUUUCUUUCUUUUCCACUCAAAGUUUCAACUUUCACAAGUUUCUAUAGCUAAAAUUCACUUAAUGGCUUCCAUUUUUCCAUUGAUAACAAGCUGCAAUUCAUUUAGCCAUCUCUCAGUUCCCACAGAUUCAGUCCAGCUUCAAUUUUAUUCCUUCAUCAGAUUUUUCCUCAGUUAAAACUUAUUUUUCCUUGCUAAAAACUAACAUGCAGCCCAUAUAUUCAGUGAUACUCUGUAAAUAAAAGAAGGUUACAAAGAGUUUUACCUUUCUCCUUUAAGUUUUAACGGUUGCAGGUUGCUCCUAUUCUUAGCCUCGGUUCCUCAACUCUUGCACCAGCUAUCUCUCCCUUCCUUGCGUUUGUUGGUUUGUUCGUUUAUGUUUAGCAGCUGAUGGAGUUAAUCAGCUUCCUCUCCUCACCUCCAGUUCCACUCCCUCGGUUGGUUUUAGAAAGAAAGAAAGAAAGAAAGAAAGGAAGGAAGAAAGCUGCCUUGUUUUUUCUUCCUCUCGGUCACCGCCCAAGCUAGCAGAUUAGUUUCUAUUUGUUUCCUCUCAGUCACCGUCUGGACUUAGCAGAUGAUUUCUCUUUGUUUUCUCUCUUUCGGUCACUGCCUACUCAGCAAAUUGGUAGUAUAUUCCUUCCUGGCAGC